CUCUCUCUCUCUCUCUCUCUCUCUUGUUUUCUAUUAUUAUUAUUAUUAUGUUAUUGUUUUCAUUUCCUUUAGUUUUUUUUUAGUUUCCCAUAAAUAGCAACGUUUUCUUCAACGGGUCAGAUGCGGAAAUUCUGUCCACCUUUCUUUAUAUUAUUUUACGUAACCUAAUCUUACCUUACUCAAUUUCACCUUCUUUUCCCUUAUUUUUUUUAGCUUCCCGUAAUUAGUAACGUUUUCUUCAGUGGGUUGGACUCGGAAAUUCUGUAGUUUUCUUAAGUUUCCCGUAAAUAGCAACGUUUUCUUCAGUGGGUCAGACUCGGAAAUUCUGUAGUUUUCUUAAGUUUCCCGUAAAUAGCAACGUUUUCUUUGAUGGGUCGGACUCGGAAAUUCUGUACUUUUCUUUAGUUUCCCGUAAAUAGCAACGUUUUCUUCAGUUUCCCGUAAAUAGCAACGUUUUCUUCAGUGGGUCGGACUUGGAAAUUCUGUAGUUUUCUUAAGUUUCCCGUAAAUAGCAACGUUUUCUGUGAUGGGUCGGACUCGGAAAUUCUGGUCGCAUUACUUCACAUUUUUUCACCUAAUCUAAUCUUACCUUAAUUUACCUUAAUCAACCACAAGCUAUUUAUUUAUGUAUUAUUUUAGGUUUAUUUCGACUAGUAAUAUCUUUUCAGUAUCUCAUAAUAUUAACGUCUCAUUAUUAUUAUUAUUAUUAUUACUGUAAGUCUCAUUCUUUCACUAACUUCAAAUACAUACGUCCUGACUCCUUAUAUUAUCUAUACUAGUGCAAGAUGUCUGUUUUUAAUUAUUAUUCUGCUAUAGUCUUGAUGUAUGUGUAUGUCUGACUUAUCAUUUAUUUUUAGUAGCGUAAGAUGUCUGUCUGUUUGUAUAUUCCUCCUAUGUGUCUGUCCCCUCGCCCCCCCUCUUUGUCCUGUAGAGAUAGCCCGCACCUCUGUUACUGUAGUUAGAUAGCUAGGCGGAUCGCACAUCGACGCAACCAAGGGCAUGAAAAUGAUCGCACGCAACUGGUCGGUUGUCUUGAGGUCCCCAUGUUGGAGGUUUCAUGCAGUUGGUUGGGCCGGUGUGCAAGCUUGGUAUUAAAAGACACUAUUGCUUCUCACAUUAACAACUUCUCAAGGUUAAAGAUGGGGUCAGUCGAGUUCUAAUGAGAGUUUCCUUAGGUUCACGGUACAGAGGAAGGGUCAAACUUACACCAGGGUCAUAAAACUACUCCUGGAAAUGCCCACAACUCCUACGAAAGCCUGGUCAAAUGUGUGUUUCUUAGGUUCAUGGUACAGAGGAAGGGUCAAACUAACACCAGGGUCAUAAAACUACUCCUGGAAAUGCCCACGACUCCUACGAAAGCCUGGUCAAAUGUGUGUUUCUUAGGUUCAUGGUACAGAGGAAGGGUCAAACUAACACCAGGGUCAUAAAACUACUCCUGGAAAUGCCCACGACUCCUACGAAAGCCUUGUCAAAUAUGUGUUUCUUAGGUUCACGGUACAGAGGAAGGGUCAAACUAACACCAGGGUCAUAAAACUACUCCUGGAAAUGCCCACGACUCCUACGAAAGCCUGGUCAAAUGUGUGUUUCUUAGGUUCACGGUACAGAGGAAGGGUCAAACUAACACCAGGGUCAUAAAACUACUCCUGGAAAUGCCCACGACUCCUACGAAAGCCUGGUCAAAUGUGUGUUUCUUAGGUUCACGGUACAGAGGAAGGGUC
This is a long non-coding RNA of Eriocheir sinensis (Chinese mitten crab), 1718 nucleotides long. RefSeq lists it as uncharacterized. The record is from RefSeq and is a predicted model, not a curated record. The transcript is spliced from 4 exons. Lineage: Eukaryota; Metazoa; Arthropoda; Malacostraca; Decapoda; Varunidae.